AUUGAACGCUGGCGGCAGGCCUAACACAUGCAAGUCGAAUGGUAACAGGAAACAGCUUGCUGUUUCGCUGACGAGUGGCGGACGGGUGAGUAAUGUCUGGGAAACUGCCUGAUGGAGGGGGAUAACUACUGGAAACGGUAGCUCAUACCGCAUAACGUCGCAAGACCAAAGAGGGGGACCUUCGGGCCCCUUGCCAUCAGAUGUGCCCAGAUGGGAUUAGCUAGUAGGUGGGGUAACGGCUCACCUAGGCGACGAUCCCUAGCUGGUCUGAGAGGAUGACCAGCCACACUGGAACUGAGACACGGUCCAGACUCCUACGGGAGGCAGCAGUGGGGAAUAUUGCACAAUGGGCGCAAGCCUGAUGCAGCCAUGCCGCGUGUAUGAAGAAGGCCUUCGGGUUGUAAAGUACUUUCAGCGGGGAGGAAGGGAGUAAAGUUAAUACCUUGGCUCAUUGACGUUACCCGCAGAAGAAGCACCGGCUAACUCCGUG
This 490-nucleotide ribosomal RNA is filed under the name uncultured bacterium. RNAcentral describes it as "partial 16S ribosomal RNA". It matches the Rfam family "Bacterial small subunit ribosomal RNA", at positions 30 to 507 of the family's 1533-position model. The record is from RNAcentral.